This is a non-coding RNA of Monodelphis domestica (gray short-tailed opossum), 1774 nucleotides long. NCBI's taxonomy places the organism in Eukaryota, Metazoa, Chordata, Mammalia, Didelphimorphia, Didelphidae. The record is from RefSeq and is a predicted model, not a curated record.
CCUGAAAUUAAAACAGGAAACGUCUCCAGUCAACUUAAUCAACCAGCCCUUCUCCUGUGCCUACCAUGUGCCAGGCACUGUGCUGAUACAAAGACGGAAACCAUCCCAACGCCUAGGAAGCGACAUUCUAACAGCAAAGAAGUGCCCCCCCACAAGCCUACCUAAUAAGUAGAAACAAACAACAAGGAGGGAGCCUCCCUUGGAAGGACGUGUUGGCGCCGGGCCUUGAAGGUGAAGAGGGAGUCGAGCUCUGGCUAAGGGGGUCUCUAGGAAUGGGGGUGAUGGGCUAAGUGACGCCGUGAGGAACAGGGGUCGGAGCGUACAAGCGGGGAGUAACGUCCAUGAAGCCGGAGACAUCCGAGUUCCUGUUUGAUCCUCCAGGAAACCGAAGGCCACUGGAGUUUACAGAGAAUGGGACGGGGUGGCAUGGUCAGAUCUGCGUCUAAGGAAGAUCGUUGGGCUGGAGUGGGAGACAAUGACGAGGCUGCUGCAAGGACUGAUCGCGAGAGGGCAGGAGCAGCUAUGUGAGCUGAGAGAGGGUACCGAGAGAGCACCAAAGGAAUGGAGGACACGAAAGCCUCGAGGAAGGAUGCUGCCUUUGAGAGCCCCAAACAAGAAUGCUCUUACUACACUGACCAUCAGUCAAUCCACCAGCAAUUACUCAGCACUUCACAUAUGACAGAAUAUGGACUAAAGACAUUCCCUCUUCACUUUGGACCUAUGAUUUCCUGGCACAAAUGAGCUGAGAUCUGCUUGGGACCAGGGGAGAUGACAGGACUUGCCAACCAUCAGAUGACUAUUUUGUGUCAAAAGUAGAAAUAGAUCCUAUGCUCCCUAAUGCCCAGACCUGGCCUGCUGUCCCGGAUGGCAUCCUAUCAUAAAUUAAGGAAUAUAAAGCAGGGGCUUAAUUAUCCAACACCACAGACUUAAUCUUUCAUUAAAACUCUGCAAAUUCAGCACAGCAAUUAAAUUCAAAUAUUUAUUCGUGGCCACCUAUGCCUGGAAUUCCAUCCAUCUCAGAGAAUCCCAAGUUUCCUUCAGGCCCUUUAGGAAAUCUGCAGAAAAAUGCUUUGCAUAGAGUUUUGUUCUUGUCUUUGUGGUUCUGAUAGGCCAGAAGGUCCUUCAGGAACAGGACGGCACCUCUAUACCUGUGUCCCCAGGAGCUAACAACACUUGCCUGGAGCAAGUGACUAACAAACACUUAUUAAACUGAACCACACUAAAUGCUUCUUUUGUAGGUAGCGCUAGGCACUGCAGAAGAUAGAAGAUCAGCUCUCUUCAUAGAGCUGACAAUCUAGAAGAGAGACAAAACAAACGCCUGGUAAAUACACUAGAAAUGGAAAAAACCUGCCCAGAGAGAGCUUUACCAAUUUUGAGAUGGGCUGCAGAAUGGGUAAAGGAGAGGCAGGUAUUUGCCAUGUCAAGGCAGAAGGAGAACACCUUUCAAUCAUAAACAAAAGAAAUUCUAAAGUUCACAGAUUUCUAUUUUGCUUACAGUUUUAGGAACCACUGUCAGCAAACACCGCUAAGCCCCAGAGGAAAAGUUUUCAUCGUUUUAUCUUUCACAUGGUUGCAUGUUUCCUUUUUUUAUUUCCUUUUUUUCCAAUUAUAUAUAAAAACAAUUUUUAACAUUCAUUUUUUUAAAAUUUGAGUUCCAUAUUCUUUCUCUGCCUCCCUAUCCUCAUGGAGAAAGCAAUCUGAUAUGGUUGUAUGCUUUAAGAAGAAGCUAGUAGGUCAUUUUUUAUUACAAUAAAAUUAAGAUUGAGACAAUUAA